Molecule: ribosomal RNA, 253 nt
Filed under: uncultured bacterium
Lineage: Bacteria
Description: partial 16S ribosomal RNA
Rfam family: Bacterial small subunit ribosomal RNA
Source: RNAcentral
UACGAAGGGGGCUAGCGUUGCUCGGAAUUACUGGGCGUAAAGCGCACGUAGGCGGCUUCUUAAGUCAGGGGUGAAAUCCUGGAGCUCAACUCCAGAACUGCCUUUGAUACUGAGGAGCUUGAGUCCGGGAGAGGUGAGUGGAACUGCGAGUGUAGAGGUGAAAUUCGUAGAUAUUCGCAAGAACACCAGUGGCGAAGGCGGCUCACUGGCCCGGUACUGACGCUGAGGUGCGAAAGCGUGGGGAGCAAACAGG